This 301-nucleotide ribosomal RNA is filed under the name uncultured bacterium. Its description in RNAcentral is "partial 16S ribosomal RNA". It matches the Rfam family "Bacterial small subunit ribosomal RNA", at positions 509 to 809 of the family's 1533-position model. The record is from RNAcentral.
CAGCCGCCGCGGGAAUACGUAGGGUGCGAGCGUUGUCCGGAAUUACUGGGCGUAAAGAGCUCGUAGGCGGUUUGUCGCGUCGUCUGUGAAAUUCUGCAGCUUAACUGUAGGCGUGCAGGCGAUACGGGCAGACUUGAGUACUACAGGGGAGACUGGAAUUCCUGGUGUAGCGGUGAAAUGCGCAGAUAUCAGGAGGAACACCGGUGGCGAAGGCGGGUCUCUGGGUAGUAACUGACGCUGAGGAGCGAAAGCGUGGGUAGCGAACAGGAUUAGAGACCCGCGUAGUCCCUGUCUCUUAUCC